This 497-nucleotide ribosomal RNA is filed under the name uncultured bacterium. Its description in RNAcentral is "partial 16S ribosomal RNA". It matches the Rfam family "Bacterial small subunit ribosomal RNA", at positions 28 to 507 of the family's 1533-position model. The record is from RNAcentral.
GACGAACGCUGGCGGCGUGCCUAAUACAUGCAAGUUGAGCGCUGAAGGUUGGUACUUGUACCAACUGGAUGAGCAGCGAACGGGUGAGUAACGCGUGGGGAAUCUGCCUUUGAGCGGGGGACAACAUUUGGAAACGAAUGCUAAUACCGCAUAAAAACUUUAAACACAAGUUUUAAGUUUGAAAGAUGCAUUUGCAUCACUCAAAGAUGAUCCCGCGUUGUAUUAGCUAGUUGGUGAGGUAAAGGCUCACCAAGGCGAUGAUACAUAGCCGACCUGAGAGGGUGAUCGGCCACAUUGGGACCGAGACACGGCCCAAACUCCUACGGGAGGCAGCAGUAGGGAAUCUUCGGCAAUGGACGAAAGUCUGACCGAGCAACGCCGCGUGAGUGAAGAAGGGUUUCGGAUCGUAAAACUCUGUUGGUAGAGAAGAACGUUGGUGAGAGUGGAAAGCUCAUCAAGUGACGGUAACUACCCAGAAAGGGACGGCUAACUACGUG